UGGGGAAUUGUUCACAAUGGGCGCAAGCCUGAUGACGCAACGCCGCGUGGGGGAUGAAGGUCUUCGGAUUGUAAACCCCUGUCGAAUGGGACGAAAGACUCGCGAGUUAAUACUUCGCGGGAGUGACGGUACCGUUAAAGGAAGCCACGGCUAACUCUGUGCCAGCAGCCGCGGUAAUACAGAGGUGGCAAGCGUUGUUCGGAAUUACUGGGCGUAAAGGGCGCGUAGGCGGCCUACUAAGUCAGACGUGAAAUCCCCCGGCUUAACCUGGGAACUGCGUCUGAUACUGGAAGGCUUGAGUAUGGGAGAGGGAUGUAGAAUUCCAGGUGUAGCGGUGAAAUGCGUAGAUAUCGGGAGGAACACCUGUGGCGAAGGCGGCCACCUGGUUGGAUACUGACGCUGAGACGCGAAAGCGUGGGUAGCGAACAGGAUUAGAUACCCCUGUAGUCCCUGAGCGGGCUGGCAAGGCGCAU
RNAcentral lists this ribosomal RNA (473 nucleotides) under uncultured bacterium. RNAcentral describes it as "bacterial SSU rRNA". It matches the Rfam family "Bacterial small subunit ribosomal RNA", at positions 355 to 825 of the family's 1533-position model. The record is from RNAcentral.